GUGUAGAGAUACUAGAGUGAGAGUGUAGGUGGUUGUUAGAAAAUAAGGGUACCGAGUAUGACCAACACAAGUAGUCACUUGGAUAUCUACCUUAUUGUCAAUGACAUACUCAAUGCUGCAGUAGUGUGAAUAGUUAUUUGACCUGCGAUACCUCAAAUAUUCAUAAUGAGAUUACUGUAGUUUGACUGUACUAUAACUCGAUCUCUUAGCCAUACAGAAUUUUGAGGUAUAUGUUGGCUGCAGUACAUUCAUUGUUGGAAUAGAAUAUGCACUUAGAUAAAAUCUAUCAAUCUUGGUAGAUAAGGAGAAGUCCUAUAUGGAUCAUGACACUGAGUUUCGAAGUCCAUGGAAAUGACAGUAUGAAUGAUGGAAAGAAAUUUUCAUAAGAUUUUAUAAGAACUCAAAUUGAUUGAAUCUAACAUAUGACAGAGAUAAGGUUUGAUGAGUUAUUUAUAACCUCCAUCUCGUUGGGACUCA
This 477-nucleotide long non-coding RNA is filed under the name Elaeis guineensis (African oil palm). RNAcentral's name for it is "long non-coding RNA (EGUI_LNC034780)". Lineage: Eukaryota; Viridiplantae; Streptophyta; Magnoliopsida; Arecales; Arecaceae. The record is from RNAcentral.